GCGGCAUGUGGGAUCUUCCCGGACUGGGGCACGAACCUGCGUCCCCUGCAUCGGCAGGCGGACUCCCAACCACUGCGCCACCAGGGAAGCCAGGUUUGGUAACAUUUUGAAUGACUUGACGGAGCCUCAGCUUACUUAUCUGUAACAUGAGGACAGCAACACCUACCGCACGGAGCUGUCGAGAGGAUUAAAUGAGUUAAGGUACAGCGCAUAGCACAGGGCCCAGCACCCGCAAGAUCCUCAGUGAAUGUUUGCCAAGUGAAAGUACAAACCGAGACAAGUGGCUACAGCUGAAGAGUGAAAUGAUGGCGGCACUUACAGGAAAAGAACUGUCAGCUGGAACUCAGUUUUGUGACGUCAUCCCAGGGUCGAGAACAUGGUUGCUUGUUGGGCCCAAUCUAACGCUGGACGCCAGAAAACUAUCCUCAGUGGUGGAGUGAAGCUGGGCUUGUUAUCUCGCUUUACAGAUGAGGCAACAGAGGCUCAAGACAGAUAGAGGCUUGCGCAGUCAAGCCGGAGGGGACCUAUCGGGAAGUGGCAGAGCCGGAC
Aethalodelphis obliquidens (Pacific white-sided dolphin) is the source of this 549-nucleotide long non-coding RNA. RefSeq lists it as uncharacterized. The record is from RefSeq and is a predicted model, not a curated record. The transcript has 3 exons. Lineage: Eukaryota; Metazoa; Chordata; Mammalia; Artiodactyla; Delphinidae.